This 254-nucleotide ribosomal RNA is filed under the name uncultured bacterium. RNAcentral describes it as "partial 16S ribosomal RNA". It matches the Rfam family "Bacterial small subunit ribosomal RNA", at positions 524 to 776 of the family's 1533-position model. The record is from RNAcentral.
UACAGAGGUCUCGAGCGUUAGGCGGAAUCACUGGGCUUAAAGCGUGUGUAGGUGGAUGCCUAAGUACCUUGUGAAAUCCCCACGGCUUAACCGUGGAACUGCUUGGUAUACUGGGUGUUCUGAGUCACUCAGGGGCGAGCGGAACAAAUGGUGGAGCGGUGAAAUGCGUAGAUAUCAUUUGGAACGCCAAUGGUGAAAACAGCUCGCUGGGGGUGCACUGACACUGAGACACGAAAGCCAGGGGAGCGAACGGG